Saccostrea cuccullata (small rock oyster) is the source of this 1070-nucleotide long non-coding RNA. RefSeq lists it as uncharacterized. Lineage: Eukaryota; Metazoa; Mollusca; Bivalvia; Ostreida; Ostreidae. The transcript has 2 exons. The record is from RefSeq and is a predicted model, not a curated record.
CAAACUAAGAGCAGAGCAAACACGGACCUCCGAAAUAUCAGAGGUGGGAUCAGGUGCCAUGGAGGAGUGAGCAUCCCCUGCCGACCGGUCACACCCGCCGUUGAAAUAUAAUGUGUUAGCAGCAUUUUGAGCAUUUGAAAACUUACUAGUAAUCAUCAAGAGACAUAUGAUAUCGAAGAAAAAGUGCAUGUUUGUGUCCUUAAUAUUAAAAACACAUUAUAUGGUUUAUUAGUUGAGAUUCCAGGGUUGUGGUUAACCACUCGCCCACUCGCCAAAUUUCAAGUGGGCGAUGAAGAAAUCAAAAUUUGAUCGCCCACAUGGAGGGCGUCUUGUUCCCAGAAACAUGACCGUGCUUUGCUUGUAUUUUUAUAAUCCACUUCUUUUUUUUCUUAGCAAACACUAUGCUAACCAUGACUUUUGGUGUCGUGUGCAAACUAUUACAUUUGUAUACAAUGCAAACACUUGCUUGACCUAGACGUAUGCCAAGCAGCAUUUUCAAAUAUUUUGUUGAUGAGGUAUGUGGGACCGUAAAUCACAUUGUGGGCCCCUAAACUUUGAAAAGUAAGGGGCCCACAUGGCUCGUAGGAUGUAAAUGGUUAACCACAACCCUGGAGAUACUAGUAUUUUUCUUCAUAAUAUUGUACACUGUCCAUAUUUUACAUGUAUAUAUAUAUAUGUUAGAUGAACAUAAUCUAUUAUGAAUUUAUAAUGUAAUGAAAUUUCAGAUUCUGCUGUUGUACUUCUUCCAUCACGCUGAGUGCAAAGAAUGUAAGAAAUUUUGGUUGAAAUGAAUGAAUUUUACCAAUUGAUUAAUACCCUGUAAAUUUGAAAUUUUCAUUAGAUAAAAUUUAAGUGUUACCUACAUGUAAUAUGCUUUUGUAAAAAUUGCGUUUACCUCUACCAGAUGAGGUGCACAAAACAUUGUAAUAAUUGUUGACACAAGCAUCAAACUAAUAAGUUUUUUUUUAAUAUACAUGUAUGUUGGUGUUAUUUCUACACAAAUUCAUUUUACAUAAAAAUUGUCAUCAAAAUUAAAUUAUUCAUAAAAUAAAGACUGACAAAAUAGUACA